GGUUAAAGUUCAGAAGCUGCCUGGCAAAAACAUCCCAGGGAUCAGCUGCAUCGUUGCUGGCAGAUAACCCCAGUUAGCAGAGAAAACCCUUGUCAGGGCUCCUGAGCUGUCCCUCCUUCCAGCAGCUUGGCUCACGAAGGCCCCUAACCAGUCUUUCCAGUACCCAUCCCCGGUUACAACUGGAUUAACGGAAUCUUCGUAUUUAUUUUUUUCCAAUAUGAACAAUGAUCCCGUACUCUAUUGACCAGCACGCCGCUUCGCCAUCUAGCUAAUUUUUAGUAAGAUAAACCCACAGGCCAUCUGUCGGUUUGAAAGAUCCAGAUGUAGAACUCUCAGCUACCUCUCGAGCAUCAUAUCUGCCAGCACACUGCCAGGCUUCCCUUUCUGAUGAUAAUGGAUUAAACCUCCGAAACUGUAAGCCAGCCACAAUUGAAUGUUUUCCUUCCUAAGAGUUGCUGUGGGCAUGAUGUCUCUUCACAGCACUGGAAACCCUGACUAAGACAGCUUCUUUUGUGAGAGCCUGAAAGCUAAGAAUGUGGAGAGGAAUGCAGACAGUAGACACCUAGCUUGUGAUGUUUCCAAAGAGACAAAGACUCUCUCAGGACCACGUUUCUGUGAUAUUUUGAAUUAAGGGUCUGUGGUUGCAAGUAUCAGCAGUGAUGAAUGAGGGGCCGCCACCACCGCAAACAAACUUUCUGUGCUUUGCUGGGACAAGGAAUGCUGGUCAGCUGGGGCUGCAAAUAUCAGCUGUGAUUAAUUCUUUAAAAAAUGAGCAUCGUUGAAGUGUAAUGUGUGCCUCACUGGGGCAGUGGAGAAGUUUAUCUUCAAGAUCAGCAUACAGAAGCUGUGGUCCAAAGGGUCCAAGGCUUUUGGGCAUCAAAAUGGCAGCAGGAUGUGAUGAAUAAUGUAUAGGCAUCUCCCAUGUGGUGCUGGUUUUGAAGACAUGAAGGGGUCAUGUAGCGCACUUGAGGCUUGACACCUGGUUGCAGUGCUGGAACCCUGCAGAGAGACCCUGAGACGCUACUGGUGAAGAUGAAGCCUUAGUUGUAUAGACCCUAGAAUAUUGGAGGUGCCAGGGCCAUGUCCACUAAGGACAGUAGCAGGUGUAGAGUAGAACCAGGUUGAGCCCACAGUGUGUGCUAAGGAUAGCAGAGCUAGAGAGGUGAGACCACCUGAACACUAUGGAGCCCAGAAGAUCUGAGUGAUCCUCAGAUGCCAGACAAUGAGCUACGGGAUUUUAUUUUCAUGGAUUCCUGGGGUUUUGCUUUAGCUUGAUUGCUCCUGUGCUCUGGUCUUUUUCUUUCAGAAUAAGAAGUAUGUAACUAUGAUGUUGGGGUUUUUUUUGUUAUUGUUUUAUAAGAGUCAACCAUCUCUAACUCUAGUUUUGGGGUACCUGACACCCUCUUCUGGCCUCUAUACCACAGGCAGGCAUGUGGCACACAUAUACAUAACAGAAAAAAUACUGAUAUGCAUAAAAUAAAAAUAAAUGUUUUAAAAGUUG
This is a long non-coding RNA of Meriones unguiculatus (Mongolian gerbil), 1501 nucleotides long. RefSeq lists it as uncharacterized. The transcript has 2 exons. The record is from RefSeq and is a predicted model, not a curated record. NCBI's taxonomy places the organism in Eukaryota, Metazoa, Chordata, Mammalia, Rodentia, Muridae.